UACGUAGGGUGCAAGCGUUGUCCGGAAUUAUUGGGCGUAAAGAGCUCGUAGGCGGCUCGUCGCGUCGACCGUGAAAACUUGGGGCUCAACCCCAAGCCUGCGGUCGAUACGGGCAGGCUCGAGUUCGGUAGGGGAGACUGGAAUUCCUGGUGUAGCGGUGAAAUGCGCAGAUAUCAGGAGGAACACCGGUGGCGAAGGCGGGGUCUCUGGGGUAUUUCUGACGCUGAGGCACGAAAGCCAGGGGAGCGAACGGG
Molecule: ribosomal RNA, 254 nt
Filed under: uncultured bacterium
Lineage: Bacteria
Description: partial 16S ribosomal RNA
Rfam family: Bacterial small subunit ribosomal RNA
Source: RNAcentral